UACAGAGGGUGCGAGGGUUAAUCGGAAUUACUGGGCGUAAAGCGUGCGUAGACGGUUAUGUAAGUCGGGUGUGAAAGCCCCGGGCUCAACCUGGGAAUGGCAUUCGAGACUGCAUAGCUAGGAUGCGGAAGAGGGAAGCGGAAUUUCCGGUGUAGCGGUGAAAUGCGUAGAUAUCGGAAGGAACAUCAGUGGCGAAAGCGGCUUCCUGGUCCAGCAUCGACGUUCAGGCACGAAAGCGUGGGGAGCAAACAGG
RNAcentral lists this ribosomal RNA (253 nucleotides) under uncultured bacterium. Its description in RNAcentral is "partial 16S ribosomal RNA". It matches the Rfam family "Bacterial small subunit ribosomal RNA", at positions 524 to 776 of the family's 1533-position model. The record is from RNAcentral.